Molecule: unclassified non-coding RNA, 218 nt
Filed under: plant metagenome
Description: partial contains small subunit ribosomal RNA, internal transcribed spacer 1, and 5.8S ribosomal RNA
Source: RNAcentral
UCUCCGUUGGUGAACCAGCGGAGGGAUCAUUACCGAGUUUACAACUCCCAAACCCAUGUGAACAUACCUAUUGUUGCUUCGGCGGGAUGCCCCCGGCGCCUCUGCGUGCCCGGGAGUCAGGCCCCCGCCGGAGGACCCAAACUCUUGUUUUUAUAUAGAACUUCUGAGUGGAUUAUUAUAAAUAAUUAAAACUUUCAACAACGGAUCUCUUGGCUCUG